Long non-coding RNA from Leopardus geoffroyi (Geoffroy's cat), 715 nucleotides. RefSeq lists it as uncharacterized. The transcript has 3 exons. The record is from RefSeq and is a predicted model, not a curated record. NCBI's taxonomy places the organism in Eukaryota, Metazoa, Chordata, Mammalia, Carnivora, Felidae.
ACUUGCCCAAAAGCGCACCAGCAGGCAAAGGCAGGAAAACCAGCUAGAAGCCCAGGUUGCCUGAAAAUGCCCUAUCAGGAAGCCGGAACUAUUUUCCAGAGUCAAGGUGUUGCCAUGGUAGAUAAUGGAGGUAAUGAAGAAAAGGUGAAGUUAAUGGCAAACCAGGGAUAGAAGCCCCGGAGGGUGUCGUGAUAAUGCAGCAGCCUGGCCCAUAGGCUAAACACUCAGCACCUGGGAAAUCUCGGGCGAGCCUUCUGGGUGAGGAGAGACGCUUGGCCCUGUUGCCCCAAUGGGCGACCUCCAGGAACAGAAGGGCCCGGGUGACCUGUCGCUGACCACAGCUACACGAGAGAACCCAGCUGCCACCGUGCCCAGCCUACAGAGCAAACCCAAAGAACCGUGAGAUUUUGUUUUUAGGUCCUCUCCACGCUAAACACGGGGCUCAAACUCACAACCCCAAGAUCAAGAGUCGUACGCUCCACCGACUGAGGCAGCCAAGGUGCCCCGAGAACCACUACUCUGAAGUCACCUGUGAAGUUUCGCUAUCCGCGGUCCGGGUUACCCAAAGUCAACUACGCUCUGGAAGCAGAUCCUCCUCCUUCUGAUCCAUCGGCAGAAGGUCAACAGUAGCCUAAGACUGCGUCCCAGCGCCCGCGACAUUCACCUGGCUUCAUCGCCUCACGCAGUUGUUUUAUUAUGUCACCUCAUCACAAGG